UGGGGAAUCUUGCGCAAUGGCCGAAAGGCUGACGCAGCGACGCCGCGUGUGGGAUGAAGCAUUUCGGUGUGUAAACCACUGUUGCCCGGGACGAACAGCGCUUUUCGAGGCGCCUGACGGUACCGGGUGAGGAAGCACCGGCUAACUCCGUGCCAGCAGCCGCGGUAAUACGGAGGGUGCGAGCGUUGUCCGGAAUCACUGGGCGUAAAGGGCGCGUAGGUGGCGCGGGCAGUCAACGGUGAAAGUUCGGGGCUCAACCCUGAAUCGGCCGUCGAUACUCCCGUGCUUGAGCACUGUAGAGGCAGAUGGAAUUCCGGGUGUAGCGGUGGAAUGCGUAGAGAUCCGGAAGAACACCGGUGGCGAAGGCGGUCUGCUGGGCAGUUGCUGACACUGAGGCGCGACAGCGUGGGGAGCAAACAG
Molecule: ribosomal RNA, 420 nt
Filed under: uncultured bacterium
Lineage: Bacteria
Description: bacterial SSU rRNA
Rfam family: Bacterial small subunit ribosomal RNA
Source: RNAcentral